RNAcentral lists this transfer RNA (27 nucleotides) under Alytes obstetricans pertinax. RNAcentral describes it as "partial tRNA-Met". Lineage: Eukaryota; Metazoa; Chordata; Amphibia; Anura; Alytidae. The record is from RNAcentral. RNAcentral also lists the same sequence under 1 other name.
UGUUGGUUAAAUCCCCUCCUCUACUAC